UUGACGAUUGACUCAUGUUGCCUCGGCGGGUCCUCCCGCCAGAGGAUACAUCAAAACUCCUGUUUUAACGGUGUUGUCUGAGCUACAAGCAACGAAUCAAAACUUUCAACAACGGAUCUCUUGGUUCUGGCAUCGAUGAAGAACGCAGCGAAAUGCGAUAAGUAGUGUGAAUUGCAGAAUUCAGUGAAUCAUCGAAUCUUUGAACGCACAUUGCGCCCCUUGGUAUCCCGAGGGGCAUGCCUGUUCGAGCGUCAUUUCACCACUCAAGCCUGGCUUGGUGUUGGGCGACGUCCCCCUUUAGGGACGCGCCUCGAAACGCUCGGCGGCGUGGCACCGGCUUUAAGCGUAGCAGAAUCUUUCGCUUUGAAAGUCGGGGCCCCGUCUGCCGGAAGACCUACUCACAAGGUUGACCUCGGAUCAGGUAGGGAUACCCGCUGAACUUAA
Molecule: unclassified non-coding RNA, 444 nt
Filed under: uncultured Cenococcum
Lineage: Eukaryota; Fungi; Ascomycota; Dothideomycetes; Gloniales; Gloniaceae
Description: sequence contains ITS1, 5.8S rRNA gene and ITS2
Rfam family: 5.8S ribosomal RNA (bases 101-254)
Source: RNAcentral